AUUGAACGCUGGCGGCAUGCUUUACACAUGCAAGUCGAACGGCAGCAUGGGCUUCGGCCUGAUGGCGAGUGGCGAACGGGUGAGUAAUGCAUCGGAACGUGCCGUGUAGUGGGGGAUAACACAGCGAAAGUUGUGCUAAUACCGCAUACAUCCUACGGGAAAAAGCAGGGGAUCGCAAGACCUUGCGCUAUACGAGCGGCCGAUGUCCGAUUAGCUAGUUGGUAGGGUAAAGGCCUACCAAGGCGACGAUCGGUAGCGGGUCUGAGAGGACGACCCGCCACACUGGAACUGAGACACGGUCCAGACUCCUACGGGAGGCAGCAGUGGGGAAUUUUGGACAAUGGGCGAAAGCCUGAUCCAGCAAUGCCGCGUGAGUGAAGAAGGCCCUUGGGUUGUAAAGCUCUUUCGGUCGGGAAGAAGGAAUGGGUGCUAAUAUCACCUGUGACAGACGGUACCGGCAUAAGAAGCACCGGCUAACUACGUGCCAGCCGCCGCCGUAA
Molecule: ribosomal RNA, 500 nt
Filed under: uncultured bacterium
Lineage: Bacteria
Description: partial 16S ribosomal RNA
Rfam family: Bacterial small subunit ribosomal RNA
Source: RNAcentral